GACGCUUCGUCCGAUUCUUCGGCGCAUCGUCCUUUCCUGCAGCCUAUUGCCCAAUCGGCCAGUUGACUCCGCAACUCCGAUAUCCCUGGCACAAUACCCGCUCUUCUUGGCCCGAUGCCCGAGUCUACGGCCCGAAGCCUUCUGUCGAUACGUCGACCGAUCCACCGGCCCGACGUCCAAUCUUCUGACAUGUUCCUCCGGCACAACAUGAU
RNAcentral lists this long non-coding RNA (212 nucleotides) under Musa acuminata (dwarf banana). Its description in RNAcentral is "long non-coding RNA (MACU_LNC011336)". Lineage: Eukaryota; Viridiplantae; Streptophyta; Magnoliopsida; Zingiberales; Musaceae. The record is from RNAcentral.